RNAcentral lists this non-coding RNA (23 nucleotides) under Cricetulus griseus (Chinese hamster). Lineage: Eukaryota; Metazoa; Chordata; Mammalia; Rodentia; Cricetidae. The record is from RNAcentral.
UUAAGAAUUCAGAGCCAGUCAGU